AUUGAACGCUGGCGGCAUGCCUUACACAUGCAAGUCGAACGGCAGCACGGACUUCGGUCUGGUGGCGAGUGGCGAACGGGUGAGUAAUGUAUCGGAACGUACCCUUCAGUGGGGGAUAACUAUCCGAAAGGAUAGCUAAUACCGCAUAUUCUCUGAGGAGGAAAGCGGGGGAUCGCAAGACCUCGCGCUGCUGGAUCGGCUGAUAUCAGAUUGGCUAGUGGGUGGGGUAAAGGCCUACCAAGGCGACGAUCUGUAGCGGGUCUGAGAGGAUGAUCCGCCACACUGGGACUGAGACACGGCCCAGACUCCUACGGGAGGCAGCAGUGGGGAAUUUUGGACAAUGGGGGCAACCCUGAUCCAGCCAUGCCGCGUGAGUGAAGAAGGCCUUCGGGUUGUAAAGCUCUUUCGGCCGGGAAGAAAUCGCAUGAGUUAAUACCUUGCGUGGAUGACGGUACCGGAAUAAGAAGCACCGGCUAACUACGUGCCAGCAGCCGCGGUAA
Molecule: ribosomal RNA, 500 nt
Filed under: uncultured bacterium
Lineage: Bacteria
Description: partial 16S ribosomal RNA
Rfam family: Bacterial small subunit ribosomal RNA
Source: RNAcentral